CCUACGGGUGGCAGCAGUGGGGAAUAUUGCACAAUGGGGGAAACCCUGAUGCAGCGACGCCGCGUGAGUGAAGAAGGAUUUCGGUAUGUAAAGCUCUAUCAGCAGGGAAGAGAAUGACGGUACCUGAGUAAGAAGCCCAGGCUAACUACGUGCCAGGAGCCGCGGUAAUACGUAGGGGGCAAGCGUGAUCCGGAUUUACGGGGUGUAAAGGGAGCGGAGACGGCGAAGAAAGACUGAAGUGAAAGCCCGCGGCUCAACCGCGGAACUGCUUUGGAAACUUUUUUGCUGGAGUACCGGAGAGGUGAGCGGAAUGCCUAGUGUAGCGGUGAAAUGCGUAGAUAUUAGGAGGAACACCAGUGGCGAAGGCGGCUUCCUGGACGGUAACUGACGUUGAGGCUCGAAAGCGUGGGGAGCAAACAGGAUUAGAUACCCUUGUAGUC
Molecule: ribosomal RNA, 440 nt
Filed under: uncultured bacterium
Lineage: Bacteria
Description: partial 16S ribosomal RNA
Rfam family: Bacterial small subunit ribosomal RNA
Source: RNAcentral